UCAGUACAAAUAAUAUGCUGACUAAAGUUUAUUAACACUAAAGGACAAAAAGACCCUCUGAAGCUUUAUAGGGAUAAAACUUGGAUAACAUUCUCAAUACAAAUAUUCUUAUGACCACUGUUUAAUUGGGGCGAUAA
This 137-nucleotide ribosomal RNA is filed under the name Cladocopium sp. clade C. RNAcentral describes it as "partial 23S ribosomal RNA". Lineage: Eukaryota; Dinophyceae; Suessiales; Symbiodiniaceae. The record is from RNAcentral.